CUGGUUGAUCCUGCCAGUAGUCAUAUGCUUGUCUCAAAGAUUAAGCCAUGCAUGUCUAAGUAUAAGCAAUCUAUACAGUGAAACUGCGAAUGGCUCAUUAAAUCAGUUAUCGUUUAUUUGAUAGUACCUUACUACUUGGAUAACCGUGGUAAUUCUAGAGCUAAUACAUGCUAAAAACCUCGACUUCGGAAGGGGUGUACUUAUUAGAUAAAAAACCAAUGCCCUUCGGGGCUCCUUGGUGAUUCAUGAUAACUUAACGAAUCGCAUGGCCUUGUGCCGGCGAUGGUUCAUUCAAAUUUCUGCCCUAUCAACUUUCGAUGGUAGGAUAGUGGCCUACCAUGGUUUCAACGGGUAACGGGGAAUUAGGGUUCUAUUCCGGAGAGGGAGCCUGAGAAACGGCUACCACAUCCAAGGAAGGCAGCAGGCGCGCAAAUUACCCAAUCCCGACACGGGGAGGUAGUGACAAUAAAUACUGAUACAGGGCUCUUUUGGGUCUUGUAGUUGGAAUGAGUACAAUUUAAAUCCCUUAACGAGGAACAAUUGGAGGGCAAGUCUGGUG
RNAcentral lists this ribosomal RNA (559 nucleotides) under uncultured Hyphozyma. Its description in RNAcentral is "SSU rRNA". It matches the Rfam family "Eukaryotic small subunit ribosomal RNA", at positions 4 to 566 of the family's 1831-position model. Lineage: Eukaryota; Fungi; Ascomycota. The record is from RNAcentral.